AAGUWGAGUUGAAGCUUUAUCUCACGCGCAUUCUCUCACUCUUGAGGAAUAAGCAUCGGCUAACUCCGUGCCCAGCAGCCGCGGUUAAUACGGGGGAUGCAAGCGUUAUCCGGGAAUCAUUGGGCGUAAAGCGCCUGUAGGUUGUUUACUAAGUCUGUUGUUAAAGAYUAGGGCUUAACCCUAGAAAAGCAAUGGAAACUUGUAGACUAGAGUAUGGCAGGGGUAGAGGGAAUUUCUAGUGUAGCGGUGAAAUGCGUAGAUAUUAGAAAGAACACCAGUGGCGAAAGCGCUCUACUGGACCAUUACUGACACUCAGAGGCGAAAGCUAGGGUAGCAAAAGGGAUUAGAUACCCCUGUAGUCCUAGCCGUAAACGAUGGAUACUAGAUGUUGUGCUUUUGUACAGUAUCCUAGCUAACGCGUUAAGUAUCCCGCCUGGGGAGUACGCUCGCAAGGGUGAAACUCAAAGGAAUUGACGGGGGCCCGCACAAGCGGUGGAGCAUGUGGUUUAAUUCGAUGCAACGCGAAGAACCUUACCAGGACUUGACAUACUACGAAUUCUUUUGAGAAAAAGAAGUGCCUUCGGGAAUGUAGAUACAGGUGGUGCAUGGCUGUCGUCAGCUCGUGUCGUGAGAUGUUGGGUUAAGUCCCGCAACGAGCGCAACCCUUAUUUUUAGUUACUAAUUCGUUAGGUUCUCUAGAAAGACUGCCGGUGACAAACCGGAGGAAGGUGAGGAUGACGUCAAGUCAGCAUGCCCCUUAUGUCCUGGGCCACACACGUGCUACAAUGACAAAGACAAAGAGUUGCAAGUUCGCGAGGAUAAGCUAAUCUCAUAAACUUUGUCCCAGUUCGGAUUGUAGGCUGCAACUCGCCUNCWUGAAGA
RNAcentral lists this ribosomal RNA (882 nucleotides) under uncultured phototrophic eukaryote. RNAcentral's name for it is "bacterial SSU rRNA". It matches the Rfam family "Bacterial small subunit ribosomal RNA", at positions 441 to 1326 of the family's 1533-position model. The record is from RNAcentral.